RNAcentral lists this ribosomal RNA (501 nucleotides) under uncultured bacterium. RNAcentral's name for it is "partial 16S ribosomal RNA". It matches the Rfam family "Bacterial small subunit ribosomal RNA", at positions 30 to 523 of the family's 1533-position model. The record is from RNAcentral.
AUUGAACGCUGGCGGCAGGCCUAACACAUGCAAGUCGAGCGGAUGACGGGAGCUUGCUCCUUGAUUCAGCGGCGGACGGGUGGGUAAUGCCUAGGAAUCUGCCUGGUAGUGGGGGACAACGUUUCGAAAGGAACGCUAAUACCGGAUGCCCUCCUCUGAUCGCAUGGUCGGAAGAGGAAAGGAUUCUGGAUCGGGAGGGUCUCGCGGCGCAUUAGCUAGUUGGUGAGGUAACGGCUCACCAAGGCGACGAUGCGUAGCCGACCUGAGAGGGUGAUCGGCCACACUGGGACUGAGACACGGCCCAGACUCCUACGGGAGGCAGCAGUAGGGAAUCUUCCGCAAUGGACGAAAGUCUGACGGAGCAACGCCGCGUGAGUGAAGAAGGUUUUCGGAUCGUAAAACUCUGUUGUCAGGGAAGAACAAGUACCAUAGUAAAUGAUGGUACCUUGACGGUACCUGACCAGAAAGCCACGGCUAACUACGUGCCAGCAGCCGCCGUAA